CACAGGUGCUGCAUGGCUGUCGUCAGCUCGUGUCGUGAGAUGUUGGUUAAGUCCCGCAACGAGCGCAACCCUCACUUUUAGUUGCCAUCGUUUAGUUGGGCCUCUGAAAGAAAUGCCAGUGAUAAGCUGGAGGAAGGUGGGGAUGACGUCAAGUCCUCAUGGCCCUUACGUGUUGGGCUACACACGUGCUACAAUGGCAUUUACAACAGGAAGCAAAACGGCGACGUUAAGCAAAUCCUAAAAAAAUGCCUCAGUUCGGAUUGUACUCUGCAACUCGAGUACAUGAAGCUGGAAUUACUAGUAAUCACGAAUAGCGCGCCGCGGUGAAUACGUUCCCGGGUCUUGUACAA
RNAcentral lists this ribosomal RNA (350 nucleotides) under uncultured bacterium. RNAcentral's name for it is "bacterial SSU rRNA". It matches the Rfam family "Bacterial small subunit ribosomal RNA", at positions 1033 to 1387 of the family's 1533-position model. The record is from RNAcentral.